Molecule: ribosomal RNA, 877 nt
Filed under: Apiognomonia pseudohystrix
Lineage: Eukaryota; Fungi; Ascomycota; Sordariomycetes; Diaporthales; Gnomoniaceae
Description: Apiognomonia sp. WJL-2020a partial large subunit ribosomal RNA
Rfam family: Eukaryotic large subunit ribosomal RNA
Source: RNAcentral
CUAGCAUAUCAAUAAGCGGAGGAAAAGAAACCAACAGGGAUUGCCCUAGUAACGGCGAGUGAAGCGGCAACAGCUCAAAUUUGAAAUCUGGCUUCGGCCCGAGUUGUAAUUUGCAGAGGAUGUUUAUGGUGCGGUACUUUCCGAGUUCCCUGGAACGGGACGCCACAGAGGGUGAGAGCCCCGUCUGGAUGGAUACCAAACCUGUGUUAAACUCCUUCAACGAGUCGAGUAGUUUGGGAAUGCUGCUCUAAAUGGGAGGUAAAUCUCUUCUAAAGCUAAAUAUAGGCCAGAGACCGAUAGCGCACAAGUAGAGUGAUCGAAAGAUGAAAAGCACCUUGAAAAGGGGGUUAAACAGUACGUGAAAUUGUUGAAAGGGAAGCGUUUAUGACCAGACUUGUGUCGUGUGGCUCAUCCGAGGUUCUCCCCGGUGCACUCCACGCGGCUCAGGCCAACAUCGGUUUCUGUCGGGGGAGAAGAACAGUAGGAACGUAGCUCUCCUUCGGGAGAGUGUUAUAGCCUAUUGUACGAUACUCUGACGGGGACCGAGGACCGCGCUUCGGCUAGGAUGUUGGCGUAAUGGUCAUUAGCGACCCGUCUUGAAACACGGACCAAGGAGUCGUCCAUUAGAGCGAGCGUUUGGGUGUAAAACCCGCACGCGUAAUGAAAGUGAAAUUAGGUGAGAGCUUCGGCGCAUCAUCGACCGAUCCUGAAGUUUACGGAUGGAUUUGAGUAAGAGUUUUAACGGACGGACCCGAAAGACAGUGAACUAUGCUUGAAUAGGGUGAAGCCAGAGGAAACUCUGGUGGAGGCUCGCAGCGGUUCUGACGUGCAAAUCGAUCGUCAAAUUUGAGCAUGGGGGCGAAAGACUAAUCGAACU